This 374-nucleotide ribosomal RNA is filed under the name uncultured bacterium. Its description in RNAcentral is "bacterial SSU rRNA". It matches the Rfam family "Bacterial small subunit ribosomal RNA", at positions 28 to 402 of the family's 1533-position model. The record is from RNAcentral.
GACGAACGCUGGCGGCGUGCUUAACACAUGCAAGUCGAACGAGGCCUUUCCUUCGGGGGAGGUUCUAGUGGCGAACGGGUGAGUAACACGUGGGCAACCUGCCCUCAGCUCUGGGAUAACUCCAAGAAAUUGGGGCUAAUACCGGAUAUGUCCGCUGACCGCAUGGUCUGGUGGUGGAAAGAUUUAUCGGCUGGGGAUGGGCCCGCGGCCUAUCAGCUUGUUGGUGGGGUAGUGGCCUACCAAGGCGACGACGGGUAGCCGGCCUGAGAGGGUGACCGGCCACACUGGGACUGAGACACGGCCCAGACUCCUACGGGAGGCAGCAGUGGGGAAUAUUGCGCAAUGGGCGAAAGCCUGACGCAGCGACGCCGCGU